CCCAUCAAACAUUACAACUUCCUAUACUCUCUCUCUCUAAAAUCGUUUGAACCAAGCACACCACCAUCUUCACAUUUUCAAAAUUCAAACACUAGAGAUUAUUGCAAGUAUGGAGGUCCAUGGAUGAAUCAAACUACUAGGGUGUUUAGAAAAGCUAGUUGGAGCUCUUUUGGUGGAACUUAAAGCCUAAAAUCAUCAAAAUUUCUUAUCAUCAUCUUUGUUUCCUUGCAAAAUUUGAGAUUAGUGGACGGCUAUGGAAAAAUAUGUUCAAGUGGUUAUCAAGAACGCAAGCUUUUGUGAUUUAA
RNAcentral lists this long non-coding RNA (305 nucleotides) under Helianthus annuus (common sunflower). RNAcentral describes it as "sRNA HanXRQr2_Chr17g0828531". The record is from RNAcentral. Lineage: Eukaryota; Viridiplantae; Streptophyta; Magnoliopsida; Asterales; Asteraceae.